This is a non-coding RNA of Aneurinibacillus migulanus, 171 nucleotides long. NCBI's taxonomy places the organism in Bacteria, Bacillati, Bacillota, Bacilli, Caryophanales, Paenibacillaceae. The record is from Rfam.
UGAUGUCGAAAAGCGCCAGGACCAUUCCUAUCGGACGGUAAAGGAAUGGUUGACGAGGUGGAGGUUAAUCGAUUGAUUCGGCGGAUGCCUCCCGGCAGUAGACCGCUGCCGCAGGGCUGUUCAACAAAACGUCAAGGAAACUUGCCGGACAAAAGAACAGCACGGUCUCAU